This 497-nucleotide ribosomal RNA is filed under the name uncultured bacterium. Its description in RNAcentral is "partial 16S ribosomal RNA". It matches the Rfam family "Bacterial small subunit ribosomal RNA", at positions 28 to 507 of the family's 1533-position model. The record is from RNAcentral.
GAUGAACGCUGGCGGCGUGCCUAAUACAUGCAAGUCGAGCGAACAGACGAGGAGCUUGCUCCUCUGACGUUAGCGGCGGACGGGUGAGUAACACGUGGAUAACCUACCUAUAAGACUGGGAUAACUUCGGGAAACCGGAGCUAAUAACGGAUAAUAUAUUGAACCGCAUGGUUCAAUAGUGAAAGACGGUUUUGCUGUCACUUAUAGAUGGAUCUGCGCCGCAUUAGCUAGUUGGUAAGGUAACGGCUUACCAAGGCGACGAUGCGUAGCCGACCUGAGAGGGUGAUCGGCCACACUGGAACUGAGACACGGUCCAGACUCCUACGGGAGGCAGCAGUAGGGAAGCUUCCGCAAUGGGCGAAAGCCUGACGGAGCAACGCCGCGUGAGUGAUGAAGGUCUUCGGAUCGUAAAACUCUGUUAUUAGGGAAGAACAAAUGUGUAAGUAACUAUGCACGUCUUGACGGUACCUAAUCAGAAAGCCACGGCUAACUACGUG